This 627-nucleotide long non-coding RNA is filed under the name Ananas comosus (pineapple). Its description in RNAcentral is "long non-coding RNA (ACOM_LNC015362)". Lineage: Eukaryota; Viridiplantae; Streptophyta; Magnoliopsida; Poales; Bromeliaceae. The record is from RNAcentral.
GUUUAGAAGGAUAUUUUAAAAAUAGAGAAAUAAAUUUAAAAAUUAUGAAUAGUAGCGACACUACAACAGAAUUAAGUUAUAGGAACACAUGUUUAGAACACUUUUAUGUAAGUAUCCCAUUUAUACCAAAACUUUAAAAAAAUCUACUAAUGCUUAAAUAUAAAUUCCAAUCCAAUCAAAAAUAAAAUGUUACUCUAUUCAACUCACCCCAUCCAGCCCAUUCGACCCGAUUACAAACAGAAAAGGAAAAAAAAAGAAAAACCGAUUACCAUUUUUCCUUCUCCCCUCAUUCAAUCGACUCAAAUCCUAGACGAAGAUUCCUUCCCUCGUCCUCCUCCUCUCGUCCUCCUCCGCUACCACAGCGAACGAGGUAGAGUUCCGGCGGUUGCUAAAUACUUAAAUAAGUGUUGGUAAAUUAGCAGCACUCUUUUUAGGUUAUAGCGACACUCUUUAACUGUCACUAUAUAUCUAGCGACCCACAUAUAGCAACACUUUUUAAAGUGUUAGUAAUUUAGCCAGCAGUACUUUUUUUGACCUAUACCGAUAUUUAAAAAUGUCGCUAUAGACCGUCUUUGUUAUAGUGGCGAGGUAUAUAUAAACAAGAGAAAUUUUUCCAUACAUGUUAUC